AUUGAACGCUGGCGGCAGGCCUAACACAUGCAAGUCGAACGGUAACAGGAAACAGCUUGCUGUUUCGCUGACGAGUGGCGGACGGGUGAGUAAUGUCUGGGAAACUGCCUGAUGGAGGGGGAUAACUACUGGAAACGGUAGCUAAUACCGCAUAACGUCGCAAGACCAAAGAGGGGGACCUUCGGGCCUCUUGCCAUCGGAUGUGCCCAGAUGGGAUUAGCUAGUAGGUGGGGUAACGGCUCACCUAGGCGACGAUCCCUAGCUGGUCUGAGAGGAUGACCAGCCACACUGGAACUGAGACACGGUCCAGACUCCUACGGGAGGCAGCAGUGGGGAAUAUUGCACAAUGGGCGCAAGCCUGAUGCAGCCAUGCCGCGUGUAUGAAGAAGGCCUUCGGGUUGUAAAGUACUUUCAGCGGGGAUGAAGGGAGUAAAGUUAAUACCUUUUCUCAUUGACGUUACCCGCAGAAGAAGCACCGGCUAACUCCGUG
This 490-nucleotide ribosomal RNA is filed under the name uncultured bacterium. RNAcentral describes it as "partial 16S ribosomal RNA". It matches the Rfam family "Bacterial small subunit ribosomal RNA", at positions 30 to 507 of the family's 1533-position model. The record is from RNAcentral.